RNAcentral lists this ribosomal RNA (615 nucleotides) under Enterobacter cloacae. RNAcentral describes it as "bacterial SSU rRNA". It matches the Rfam family "Bacterial small subunit ribosomal RNA", at positions 766 to 1381 of the family's 1533-position model. Lineage: Bacteria; Pseudomonadati; Pseudomonadota; Gammaproteobacteria; Enterobacterales; Enterobacteriaceae. The record is from RNAcentral.
GAGCAAACAGGAUUAGAUACCCUGGUAGUCCACGCCGUAAACGAUGUCGACUUGGAGGUUGUGCCCUUGAGGCGUGGCUUCCGGAGCUAACGCGUUAAGUCGACCGCCUGGGGAGUACGGCCGCAAGGUUAAAACUCAAAUGAAUUGACGGGGGCCCGCACAAGCGGUGGAGCAUGUGGUUUAAUUCGAUGCAACGCGAAGAACCUUACCUACUCUUGACAUCCAGAGAACUUAGCAGAGAUGGUUUGGUGCCUUCGGGAACUCUGAGACAGGUGCUGCAUGGCUGUCGUCAGCUCGUGUUGUGAAAUGUUGGGUUAAGUCCCGCAACGAGCGCAACCCUUAUCCUUUGUUGCCAGCGGUUAGGCCGGGAACUCAAAGGAGACUGCCAGUGAUAAACUGGAGGAAGGUGGGGAUGACGUCAAGUCAUCAUGGCCCUUACGAGUAGGGCUACACACGUGCUACAAUGGCGCAUACAAAGAGAAGCGACCUCGCGAGAGCAAGCGGACCUCAUAAAGUGCGUCGUAGUCCGGAUUGGAGUCUGCAACUCGACUCCAUGAAGUCGGAAUCGCUAGUAAUCGUGGAUCAGAAUGCCACGGUGAAUACGUUCCCGGGCCU